RNAcentral lists this ribosomal RNA (376 nucleotides) under uncultured archaeon. Its description in RNAcentral is "bacterial SSU rRNA". It matches the Rfam family "Archaeal small subunit ribosomal RNA", at positions 347 to 727 of the family's 1478-position model. The record is from RNAcentral.
ACUUUACAAUGCGGGAAACCGUGAUAAGGGAACUCCGAGUGUCCGUAAAUUCGGACUGUCCGUAUGUUUAAAAAGCAUACGAAGAAAGGGCCGGGCAAGACCGGUGCCAGCCGCCGCGGUAAUACCGGCGGCUCGAGUGGUGGCCACUAUUACUGGGCUUAAAGCGUUCGUAGCUUGGUUGUUAAGUCUCUUGGGAAAUCUAUCGGCUUAACCGAUAGGCGUCCAGGGGAUACUGGCAAUCUAGGGACCGGGAGAGGUGAGGGGUACUUCAGGGGUAGGAGUGAAAUCCUGUAAUCCUUGGGGGACCACCUGUGGCGUAGGCGCCUCACCAGAACGGCUCCGACAGUGAGGGACGAAAGCUGGGGGAGCAAACCGG